This is a long non-coding RNA of Calypte anna (Anna's hummingbird), 1360 nucleotides long. RefSeq lists it as uncharacterized. The record is from RefSeq and is a predicted model, not a curated record. NCBI's taxonomy places the organism in Eukaryota, Metazoa, Chordata, Aves, Apodiformes, Trochilidae. The transcript is spliced from 3 exons.
CCUGUGCUACUGCUCUUAAUGUCUGCUGCUACAAUAGUUUUUAUGCCUCUGCUGCCUGCCACAGUCGUAUCAAAGAAAACUCCCUGGCCCCGUACCAGAGCAGUUUCUACAUGGAAUAAAGAACCUACAGAUACUCUUUGAACCUGACCUGCACAGAAUUCAGUGUUUUUCAAGUCAAAGCAUUUUCACAUGAUGGCAUCAGAAGAUGAUCUUGUAUAUGCCAGAGAGCUGCAUUUGCACCCUAGCAUGCCGAGGCUGUGAAGGUGGAAGGCAUUAGAGGGACACGUGUGCAAACCUUUGCACUAGAGGAAGUGUAACAGCAACAUUAACAUCAGGUUGAACCAGCAGAAUUUUUUUCUUUAUUGGUUAAUCCCCCAAAUCCCCAAACAGUCACCCAAAGAAUAGACUCUUUUGAAUGAAAGUCAACAUCAACUUUAUAUUUUGCUUCCACUCCAGUUGAGUGGUUUUUUUUCUGCCUUCUCCCAUGCAUUUAUUUGACCCGGACUUUGUAUAAAAGAACAGAAGUGAAGAUUGUAAUUUUUUUUUUUAAACAGAAAGCCUGAUGCAGAACUUGGGCUGUUCCUGUUGCCAGAAGGUGCAGCAGCAGCCUGGCUGCACGGUGACUCAUGGCCCUGUGCCACAUUGCAAAUAAUGCUCUUAUUAAUCUCUCCAGGCUUUGUUCUGGCCCCCCUCCUAGUGGUGUCUGAUUUCAUGGUGUGGUGUAGCCAAAGGUCAGAUAAACUACAUGAUGGCCAGAGUUGCUACUGAAGAAAGAAAUCGGAAAUGCCUCUCCCAGCAGUUUCUGCAACAGAGAGAAAAAUAAUUUCUCUUACUGUUAACCUGCCUGAUGUGUUACCUUGUGUUGCUGUCUCAGCAGAGGAAAGCUGUGGUACAGCAGUAACCCAGGGAGGCAGCCAAACCCAGUUCUAUAGCAAAUGCUUCUGGGUCUGCCUGGCUCGGUACAUUUUUUAGCAAAAAUGUUCUGUCUUUAUGUGUUUGAUCAUUCGCAACAAAUGACAGUCACAAGCUGAAAAAGAUGCCAAGCUUUGUCUCUAAAUGAGCUGAUGUAAUUGACUGAUUCAUUAAUUACCCACUUUUCCUCAGAUUUAAUUCAACAUAGUGUUCACAAAGAGAUAACCAGUCACGAAUUAGUCAAGCUGAAGUUUGAUAUGCUUGGUUACAGGCCAUUUUGUUGUUACCAUUUUCAGAUGAAUGAAUAUUCCUGUGAAACUAGCAAAUGUUGCUUGCAAGUUGUUUCUUUGCCUCCAUGACUACCCAAAGUGUUUCUAUUCAAAUGAAAUGGAGUCCAUACACUUUGAACUGGAGUGCCUUGCAAGCAGAUAGCACAACCAAAGCAAAU